AACUGGAUUAAUGGGAGGUCAUUCAAUCUAGCUUCCUCUAUGAGUAUAUUAAAAAUCUUUUGGAAUGACACAGAAUCUGCACACAGCCAUGGGAACCUUCACAUAUCCUAUCUUGAACAGAGUUUCAGGAAGAUUGUUUUAAGCAUUUAGGGAGCUGAGAGGAGAAAUCUUUUAUAGAGAGGAGAGAAGGUAAUCCUACAUAUAUGUUCAAGGAGAGGGAAUAAGGAUGUAGGCACACACAUACACAUACAUAAGACUAGAGGGGGAAUGAGGAAAUAUUCAUAUCCAUAGCAACAGAGAGAAUGAUGGAUGAGGUGGAUGGGGCAAUAGAAAAACUAAAGAUAAUAAAGGAGGGGAUAGAAUGAAUAUCUGAAAAUUCCUGGCCUGGAAUGAAGUGAAAGGAAGGCAGAACAUAUCUUGUGGUUUCUUUAUUAAAGGUUCUCAUCAAUGGGAGAUAUGAAAUAUUUCAUUUCAACAUAAGUAUCCUCUGGAUCAGAAUCUAGAGACAGGAAUGAAGAGAUUAUGUUGCUAUAUAAAUGAAAUGGGCCUGCUCUUUGUGUAUAUAGGCUUAUACAGCCAAUCACUGAGGGCUCUUGAGCACAAAGUGAAGGGAAAAAUGCAGAGAAAGCCUUGCCAGGAAUAGUGUGAGGACACAUAGACUCCAUUACAUCAUAGUAUGCUGACUAGGAGGGGUAAUAAAAGGGAGAGUUGGGCAAACAUAUUGAAACAGUCAGUCCAGGGUCUCUGGUAAUCUGUCAAGGUCCUGUGGUCAUCUCUCUCCUUGAUAGUCUCACUAGACAGCAGAAAGCUGGGAAUGCUUGUCUGAGAAGCCAGAGAAACCAGGACUUGCCUAAGAACAUCCUGAGAAGCACUUAUCAGGAAAGUGGUCACGAAACACAAGCCACAGACUGCUGAAUCCAGUGCAAAGAAGGGAAAAGAUCCCUGUUGCUCCCACCAGAACCAUAGCUUUCCAUUCUGAGGCUGAAGAGGGAAAGAUGAGGCCAGAAGCACCAGCCCAGUCCAAUUUGUCAGGACAAAUGGGAACAGGAAUAUAUGAGGACGAUUUCCCGAGGAGGGUUACAAGCAUGUUAUCAACAACCCCAAACUCACUCCAGAAAUUACUGUAGUAAAUAAAAUUCUUAAGGGAAAACCCA
This 1154-nucleotide long non-coding RNA is filed under the name Monodelphis domestica (gray short-tailed opossum). Its description in RNAcentral is "lncRNA (ENSMODG00000048156.1)". Lineage: Eukaryota; Metazoa; Chordata; Mammalia; Didelphimorphia; Didelphidae. The record is from RNAcentral.